CCCAGGGCUUGCGCCCUGGGCUGAUAUGAUGCCGCCCUUUCAGGGCG
RNAcentral lists this small RNA (47 nucleotides) under Candidatus Moduliflexus flocculans. RNAcentral's name for it is "Acido-Lenti-1 RNA". It matches the Rfam family "Acido-Lenti-1 RNA". Lineage: Bacteria; Candidatus Moduliflexota; Candidatus Moduliflexia; Candidatus Moduliflexales; Candidatus Moduliflexaceae. The record is from Rfam by way of RNAcentral.